This 870-nucleotide ribosomal RNA is filed under the name uncultured Halomonas sp. RNAcentral's name for it is "bacterial SSU rRNA". It matches the Rfam family "Bacterial small subunit ribosomal RNA", at positions 46 to 906 of the family's 1533-position model. Lineage: Bacteria; Pseudomonadati; Pseudomonadota; Gammaproteobacteria; Oceanospirillales; Halomonadaceae. The record is from RNAcentral.
GCCUAACACACUGCAAGUCGAGCGGCAGCACGGGAAGCUUGCUUCCUGGUGGCGAGCGGCGGACGGGUGAGUAAUGCAUAGGAAUCUGCCCGGUAGUGGGGGAUAACCUGGGGAAACCCAGGCUAAUACCGCAUACGUCCUACGGGAGAAAGCAGGGGCUCUUCGGACCUUGCGCUAUCGGAUGAGCCUAUGUCGGAUUAGCUGGUUGGUGAGGUAAUGGCUCACCAAGGCGACGAUCCGUAGCUGGUCUGAGAGGAUGAUCAGCCACAUCGGGACUGAGACACGGCCCGAACUCCUACGGGAGGCAGCAGUGGGGAAUAUUGGACAAUGGGCGCAAGCCUGAUCCAGCCAUGCCGCGUGUGUGAAGAAGGCCCUCGGGUUGUAAAGCACUUUCAGUGCGGAAGAAAGCCUUCCGGUUAAUACCCGGGAGGAAGGACAUCACCCACAGAAGAAGCACCGGCUAACUCCGUGCCAGCAGCCGCGGUAAUACGGAGGGUGCGAGCGUUAAUCGGAAUUACUGGGCGUAAAGCGCGCGUAGGUGGCUUGAUAAGCCGGUUGUGAAAGCCCCGGGCUCAACCUGGGAACGGCAUCCGGAACUGUCAGGCUAGAGUGCAGGAGAGGAAGGUAGAAUUCCCGGUGUAGCGGUGAAAUGCGUAGAGAUCGGGAGGAAUACCAGUGGCGAAGGCGGCCUUCUGGACUGACACUGACACUGAGGUGCGAAAGCGUGGGUAGCAAACAGGAUUAGAUACCCUGGUAGUGCACGCCGUAAACGAUGUCGACUAGCCGUUGGGUCCUUCGCGGACUUUGUGGCGCAGUUAACGCGAUAAGUCGACCGCCUGGGGAGUACGGCCGCAAGGUUAAAACUCAAAU